This 125-nucleotide ribosomal RNA is filed under the name uncultured Legionella sp. RNAcentral describes it as "partial 16S ribosomal RNA". It matches the Rfam family "Bacterial small subunit ribosomal RNA", at positions 595 to 719 of the family's 1533-position model. The record is from RNAcentral. Lineage: Bacteria; Pseudomonadati; Pseudomonadota; Gammaproteobacteria; Legionellales; Legionellaceae.
UGAAAUUCCUGGGCUUAACCUGGGACGGUCAGAUAAUACUGGUUGACUCGAGUAUGGGAGAGGGUAGUGGAAUUUCCGGUGUAGCGGUGAAAUGCGUAGAGAUCGGAAGGAACACCAGUGGCGAA